Long non-coding RNA from Rana temporaria (common frog), 686 nucleotides. RefSeq lists it as uncharacterized. The record is from RefSeq and is a predicted model, not a curated record. The transcript has 4 exons. NCBI's taxonomy places the organism in Eukaryota, Metazoa, Chordata, Amphibia, Anura, Ranidae.
UGUGGAGCCAACUUGUGCUGCUAAGACAGACGAACCAGCUUGUCACAAAUCUGACUAGCCUCCGGUCUCAAGCUAGGCAUAAGCCUCCACAGAUGCUAUACCUGUAUACCUGAGCACUUUGGCCACUUUGCCUCUGGGUGUCGCCCCCUGCCUCUCCGAUGGUUGGGGACUGUGUGAAUCUCAUCUGCAGCGGUUUUUCACUUUUCCUGCCUAGGUUAUCCUUUUGGCUGUCAACUUGUGUCCAUCUGGCCUGAUUUUUCAGGCAGGUGAUGGUAUCAGGGUAAUAUACACCCUGUUAUUUGUUUACAUCCACUACGGACCAGCAGAAUCCAAACUCUGAUCUCAACCACCCCUGAAGAAGCCUAACCAGGCGAAAUAUAUAGGGUUUACCAACCGGGUUGUGAUCUCUGCUACAGUAUUUAUGUCUGUUAUGGAAACCUUUUAACUUUGUUAUACUUGUCCAGGUUGUUUUGAUUUAUGAAUUGGGCUCCGUUAGAGUCUAUGAUAUGUCCUACAACCUGACGCUAUAUAUUUUUAUUAAAUAAACCAUUAAAAUUUAUAGUAUUUGUUCUAUUUUUCUUUAUGGGUUUCUGCCUGCACCGUUACAGUCCCGCCAUUGUUCUACUUUCCCAUAUAUAAAUUUGGGAUGAGGUGCUCUUGUCAAUGAUACUAUUUUUCAGUCUAGA